Molecule: ribosomal RNA, 418 nt
Filed under: uncultured soil bacterium
Lineage: Bacteria
Description: bacterial SSU rRNA
Rfam family: Bacterial small subunit ribosomal RNA
Source: RNAcentral
AGAUUGAACGCUGGCGGCAGGCCUAACACAUGCAAGUCGAGCGGUAGAGAGGUGCUUGCAUCUCUUGAGAGCGGCGGACGGGUGAGUAAUGCCUAGGAAUCUGCCUAGUGGUGGGGGAUAACGUUCGGAAACGGACGCUAAUACCGCAUACGUCCUACGGGAGAAAGCGGGGGACCUUCGGGCCUCGCGCCAUUAGAUGAGCCUAGGUCGGAUUAGCUAGUUGGUGAGGUAAUGGCUCACCAAGGCGACGAUCCGUAACUGGUCUGAGAGGAUGAUCAGUCACACUGGAACUGAGACCACGGUCCAGACCUCCGUACGGGAGCAGCAAGUGGGGAAUAGUUGGACAAGUGGGACGAAAGCCUAGACUCCAGCCAUCGACCCGCGUGUGUAGAACGGAGGUUCGUUACGGAUUAGUAAA